CAUAGAGCUUCCCAGCCCCAGGAGAGGGGCCUGCGCUGGGGCCGGGGACACAGCAUCAUAGAGCUUCCCAGCCCCAGGAGAGGGGCCUGCGCUGGGGCCAGGGACACAGCAUCAUAGAGCUUCCCAGCCCCAGGAGAGGGGCCUGCGCUGGGGCUGGGACACAGCAUCAUAGAGCUUCCCAGCCCCAGGAGAGGGGCUUGUGCCGGGGCUGGGACACAGCAUCAUAGAGCUUCCCCCCCAGGAGAGGGGCCUGCGCUGGGGCCGGGGAGUGAAGGGGUCCGCUCUCCCAAGAGGCAGCCAGAGCCAGCCACCCCCAGCCCGCUUCAGACACCAGAACCUUCGUAUUAUACGUGCUUUUCCUCCGGCUGGAACACCAUCCCCCUUGCACAUCACGGACAACCUGCUCCUCCAUGAAGACUGUUCAGAGCCCCCAACAUCCUCAGACAAGACUUCCCCUACGCUGGACGGAUGCAUAACAGGCCAUGAAACACCCAGCUUGCGUGUCUCUUCCGAGAAAGCUGCAACGCACGUUUAGGAAAAUGAGGCCCAAAGAAGCGAAUGGCCUGUCACACCGGGACCCAGGACAUGGCUGGAAUGGGGACCCAGGCCAGUGUCCCAGCUGCUCCACCGGCCUCCCUCGCCCCACCGGCAGGAUGCAGACAUCACGGUCCCCAGCCCUCAGGGAACCGCUCCAAGAUGCCAGAGCUCUGCCCUGGCUCCAGGAGGGCUCUUCCCAAAUGAGGUGUCCAGAGAGUGGCUCGGGGAGCAGAAGACACACCUGACCUGCUCCAGUGACAAGGAGCUGCCUGCCCUGGGCAACUGGGUGGAGAGGCACAUCCACCCACUGCAGGAACCUCAUCGGCCAAGCUCUCCCCCGGGGUCCAGCAAUGAGGGGAUGGACGGGGGCCUGCAGAGGUGGGCAGGACCACAUCCUGGGUGAGGGCAUGGGGCAGAGUGAGGUCAGGCGCCUCUGGGGAGCCACUACACCCCAAGCUCUAGGCCCACUGCCUGCCCCCGCCCCCAAGAGACCAAGACCCCCUCAAGCAUCUGUGGUUAUUGCCCCGUCGGUGACAACCAGGUCUGAUGUUCAAGGGCUUUCUUGCCAGUUAUUCCGUAAUUACUCCCUAAUUACCACCUCGGUCUGUUCUCAGCUACUGGGGCACGACAGUGAAGCGUGCCGCACGGCAGUUCACAAUCCACUCAUGGAUUCAGAGAGGCAGACACAGGCCAAGGCGGGGAGAGCUGAGGGCCUGGAGGGUGAGCCAGAAAUGCACCAAGGUGAUUCAGGCCUCAGGGGCCCACGCAUCUCUGCAUCAGGCAGAGGGACAGCCUGAGACAUCACCACAGGCCAGGGGAAGGAACAGACCAAAUGCAGACACAGCCAGGCCCAGGACAAGCCAGCACUGGGGCCACCACCGUCGGUCAUCCUUCCUCGGGGUCCACCCUGGCCUUGGGCUCCUUCCUCCACGCCACUGGCCCCUCCUCACAAAGGAAGGGCCUGGAGAGCCCGGCUCCUAGAGGGGACUGGAGUCAAGGAACAUCACACAGGGCAGGGGCCAGGUACCCAGCUCCUGGAGCAGGAAGGUUGGCCUGGGACCUCCUUCCACUGACCGGGGCCGCACAUCCUGACAGCUGACCUCCAACUCAGGAUCACGGGGAAAAAUAAAAACAAUGUGGUAACAAC
Odocoileus virginianus texanus is the source of this 1684-nucleotide non-coding RNA. NCBI's taxonomy places the organism in Eukaryota, Metazoa, Chordata, Mammalia, Artiodactyla, Cervidae. The record is from RefSeq and is a predicted model, not a curated record.